AUUGAACGCUGGCGGCAUGCCUUACACAUGCAAGUCGAACGGCAGCACGGGGGCAACCCUGGUGGCGAGUGGCGGACGGGUGAGUAAUGCAUCGGAACGUGCCCUGAAGUGGGGGAUAACGCAGCGAAAGCUACGCUAAUACCGCAUAUUCUGUGAGCAGGAAAGCAGGGGAUCGCAAGACCUUGCGCUUUGGGAGCGGCCGAUGUCGGAUUAGCUAGUUGGUGGGGUAAAGGCCUACCAAGGCGACGAUCCGUAGCGGGUCUGAGAGGAUGAUCCGCCACACUGGGACUGAGACACGGCCCAGACUCCUACGGGAGGCAGCAGUGGGGGAAUUUUGGACAAUGGGCGAAAGCCUGAUCCAGCCAUGCCGCGUGAGUGAAGAAGGCCUUCGGGUUGU
RNAcentral lists this ribosomal RNA (397 nucleotides) under uncultured bacterium. Its description in RNAcentral is "bacterial SSU rRNA". It matches the Rfam family "Bacterial small subunit ribosomal RNA", at positions 29 to 426 of the family's 1533-position model. The record is from RNAcentral.